Molecule: ribosomal RNA, 258 nt
Filed under: uncultured bacterium
Lineage: Bacteria
Description: partial 16S ribosomal RNA
Rfam family: Bacterial small subunit ribosomal RNA
Source: RNAcentral
CAGGUACAGCGGGAAGCCACCUGGCGACAGGGAGCGGAACCCGAAAGCCUGUCUCAGUUCGGAUUGGAGUCUGCAACCCGACUCCAUGAAGCUGGAUUCGCUAGUAAUCGCGCAUCAGCCACGGCGCGGUGAAUACGUUCCCGGGCCUUGUACACACCGCCCGUCAAGCCAUGGAAGCCGGGGGUGCCUGAAGUGCGCGACCGCAAGGAGCGUCCUAAGGUAAAACCGGUGACUGGGGCUAAGUCGUAACAAGGUAUC